Molecule: long non-coding RNA, 5983 nt
Filed under: Medicago truncatula (barrel medic)
Lineage: Eukaryota; Viridiplantae; Streptophyta; Magnoliopsida; Fabales; Fabaceae
Description: long non-coding RNA (MTRU_LNC001586)
Source: RNAcentral
AAAAACAGGCAACAGCAGACCAGAAAACAGCACCAGAUGAGCCAAAACAGAACCACAGAAUCAUCAGCGACGAUACAAGGACAAUGGCCUGCUACCGAUUCAAGCGAUCUCUGGAAUUCAAAUUGACAAGACACUUUGUAUAUAAGGUAAUAUCCCAAUCACCACAAUCAUUUUACUCCUGGUAAAAAUAACUAAUUACUUAUUCCUCCAAUUGGAAGAAUGUUUCCUUGUACAUUACUAUCCGAUCAAUAGAAUUCACUUCUUUGUAAGCAAGCUCCACAAUCAUUUGAGUACUUAAAUCAAGACAAACUAGUUCUUUAUCUUGUCUGAUGACGAAUAUUUCUCCUUUCGUUCCCACUCCAAUAGGACGCUCAAUGCAAGACAACGGUCCAACCAUGAAGAGUUUGGUCCAUGACUCCUUUAUACCGUAUUCACCCAAAAUUGAUAUGUGAAAAUUUGUCGUCUCUUCAUGAUAUGAGAUCAAUGCAAUGGACCCAUUUAACACCGCCAAGUUUAUCCACAAGGUGUGAAGAUUGAAACAAUCAUCUAAGUAUGAGGGUAUGUAUGUUAUGAAGAAUUCCUCAUUGCUCAAGUAAAAUGAUACCACACAUGGUCCCUCCAGGGUAUCAUCAACUUCUUCAGCCAACCAAUGACACACACCAUCCAUGUAGACUUGAGUGCCGUCAAUACGUGCCAAUGAACAAGGCAUGCUAGAAACAUCAAGUAUCCUCCACGAGUUAGUUCUUAAGCUAUAUAUCACCCAAAUUGGGUCUAAAGACAUACAUCCAUAGCCAGCGUGUUCACCCGUAAUAGUUACGUGACAGAUGACCUUAUAGUCAUUUCUAAGAUUGUCGUAGCCAAAUCCAUGAAGAUAAUACGUAUCAUGUAUGCUAACAAAAUCCACAACAUCUUCAAUAGACGACUCAACUAACUCAUCCUGACUGGGAACGAGCUUGAUUGCAUGUGCCGAUGGGUUCCACAAUAGAGUUUUGCCAUAAUAAUAAUCUUGAUAGAGACAAAAUGUGCCAUUAAUACUACCAAAGCCAAAAAUACGAAAUUUGAAACGGUCUGCAUAUGCAUUUGAGAAAUCUAAUUGAACUUUGUUCUCAAACCUUUCACCAGAAAUAGAAUAGAAAACGUCUUUACCAAGUUCGAAAUCCCUUAGGAGCAGAGAUCCCCCAUCGUAAUAAGGACAUUGGUGAGAAUUAGAUAAAAGAUUCUUGUAGAACAUGUUCAUGAAGUGAGGGUUUUCAGAUAAGAGAGACCAUGCUUUGCGAAUGCAUUCAAACCGUUUAAUGGAUUUAAAAGGCAAUUUGGAUAAAAUAGAGAAGGCAAUUUCAUCAGGUAUAUAGGUGGUGCUCACCUUUCUUUUUUUAGCAGCGACUGACUCCAUCGGCGGUUGCAAAUUGGAAUGCAGUGAGAUCCUGAAAGCACAAAGUGAUUGGGAUUACUAGAAAGCAGAAACCCUAAACAAAUUUGGAGCGAGUCUGUGGAUGAAUAUAGAAACCCUAGCGCUUUUUUAUAUAUUGAGAAAGGAGCCCUAUAUAUCCUUCAUUUCCCACUUAUUUUACUUUCGUUUAACCCUUCUUUUUUUCGUUACAAUUUGUUUCACCUAUUUUUUUUUAAACCAAUGGUACACAAGAGUUAUUUGAUAGUACAUGUGUACCAUACCAAUGUUAUAUAACAUUUGUCAACAUUGGUCAAUGAAGGUGUGCCACGUAGCAUUUCACAUACAUAUAUUUUCUCUUUCCUCUUUAGUUCUUCCUCACGUUGGCUACGUGACACAUCUUUACUCACCAAUGUUAAAUAACAUUGGUAUCCCAAUGAUAUGCAAGUGCUAUCUUAGACACUUCAGUCGAUGUUAAUUUUGUCUUGAUAAAAGAUGAUGUCAAACUAGUCUUUACAAUUUUAAAUUGGGAACAAAUUAAUCUCUAUAUUAAAAACUUCGAUAGCUACCUAUUCUAUACUCCGUCCCAAAUCGUACGACAUUUUGGAUAUUUCACACGUAUUAAAAAUGUAAUUACUUAUGUGUGGGAAAGGGAUAUUAUUAGUUGUUUUACAAAAUUGUCCUUAAUAAAUGAUAUGGGAAAGAUAAAUAAAAAAAUUGAAAGAAGAGAGUACUAAAUAGUUAAAGAUAUAAUGGGAAAAGUAACACUAAUAUUUUAUUAGUAUCGUAAAGCGACAUAUAAUUUCAGACAAAAAAGUUUCCAAAGCUACGUAUAAUUUGGGACGGGGCGAGUAAAAAAAAACAUUUGUUACAUAUAAUAAUCAUUUUUUCCUUUUAAACCACCAAAAAAAAAAAAAUUCAUUUUUGGCUUUUCACAUUUUCUAAAUGAUACUUAAAUUCAUUCGUCAUUAACACCAAUUAUUAAUCAAGAUUCAUUGAAGUAAAGAAAAUUUUCAAAGGAUAACCUUCACUUUAUUCAAAUAAGCACACUCUUUUUUUCAAACCACAGCUCCAACAACAUUUAGAUCAUCAAAGAGACCAAGAAAUGGAACAAGAGAACAAAGAAUACCAAUAACACUAUCACUAAAAUUUCACGCGGUUUUUUUCAAUCAACGAGGUGAAGAGAGAUUAGUUUACCUGAAAUAAAUUCAAUCAAAAGCUUCACAAAGGAGAGGCAAAGGUUUGUAAUUCAAGAAGUUUUCUCAAAUAAGGCUUGGAACAUGAAGGAAAUGGAUGUUUUUUCUUCAAAACAAAAAGCACCAACACACCUAUACAGGUAAUAUUGAGAGAAAGAGAGAGAGCGCUUCUGUGCUGAAAGUGAAAAUGGGAAAGGAAGGAAUAGCUUAAAUAGACCACAUGGUAAAGUCCUAGCCCUUGGAUUAAACAUAAGUCAUGUGGGAUGAAUCUAAACCAUUCAAUAUAACUUAAUCACCAAGNAAGGCUAAAACAAGAGGACAGAAAAUGAAACCUGCACAAAACCACCAAAAGCCAUGCGCGCACAAAGCUGGCAGCACAACAACCAAGUGGUCACAACAACUACAAAAAACCCACAAAGCUGGAAGUACAGAAGCCAAGCAGUCACAGUAACAGCAAAAAAAUCGCAGCCCUGUUUAAAUUAAAAAUGAAGUCCGUAAACAUAAGAAACAAAUAAUAUAAAACGAGUUUAGGCGAAUACCUUCAAAACGAGUCUUCAUUCACACCAAAACGAGCCUUCAACAAACAGUGUUGUUUUGGAAAUGGGAAAACCGAUUGAAAUUUGAAAUAGUGUUGUUUUCAACAUUCAACAAAUCUCUAUCAAUCUCUAUUUUAGUAAUUUCAACAUUCAAAUUAAUGAAAGAGAGUUUAUUUACUUACCAAACAGUGUUGUUUUGGAAAGGGGAAAACUGAUUGAAACCUUGAGAGUUGAGAAUCAGUGAUGAUUUGGUGAAGAAGGAAGAAGAAGAAGGAAAGCCUGAUGAUGUGAAUCAGUUGAUGAUUGAUCAGUGAUGGUGGUUGUGAAUCGGUGAUGGAAUGGAAGAAAAUCGGUGAUGAGAGUGAGGAAACGUGUUUCAACUUUUGUGAGCGAAUGAAAUAUUUUUUUUUUUAUUGGAGGAUAUAUAUUAUACUGGGUAUAAUUUUUUUUUUGAAGCCCAUCCUUGAGGGAGGCCCAGCUCGUUUGAGCUGUUUGCACGCCUCAGGGAUGCCCAUGACUAUUAUACCAUUCACCUACAUCAAUACCCAAUGCUCACCAAAAUACUCAAUACUUACAUAAAUCAAAAUCUAUAUAUACUCCAUUGCUCAUCUAUCUAUCUAUCUAUCUAUCUAUCUAUCUAUAUAGGGGGACUUCUACGGUACACCUCAUAAAUUGAGUUGUACUGGUACUCCUACUUCAAAAAUUUAUAAUUUAACAAUUAUUUUAUGAAAUAAAGAGUUAUUCAUCAAUAUUUAUAUUUUAGAAAACAUCAUUUUAUAAGAAAAAACAUCAUUUCAUUGUUUAUAAGAAUUAUAUUUAAUUUUUAAAAUUUUCUCAUAAAAAAUAAUCAAUAUUCUUUGUCAUAUGUAACAAAAAUUCAAAAAAAAAGUAAAUUUUGUUUCGUCGACGCUUUUGGUAAAUACGAUUUAAUUAUUGUAAUUGUCAAUGAUAGAAAACAGAUUUUUUUCUUAAAAAAAACAACUCGUUUAAUUAUUAAUUUAAUAAUUUGAUGUACCGGUACCCUCAAAUUGUUGGAUAUAUCAUAAAAUUUGCCAUCUAUAUAUCUUUGAAUUUGAAACUUGCUUCAUUCUAAUGCUUGGAUUGUGCCUAUGUGACAUAUUAAAAAAGCUCAAACUCUCUCUUUUCUAUUGCAUUGAAAUGUUGGUGUUAUCCCUCUCUUAAAACCUUGCCAGCAGUCACAUUUCAACCGUAAAUUAUUUUUAAUAAAAAAUCAAUGCAUUAAAUAUACAAAGGAAGCUCCAUCUUUUAGGAACGUUUUAUUUUUAAGAUGUAUAAAAUAGGUAGAGAAGUUCACUUGAUAUUCCUAAUCCAUACCUUUCAUUUGUACAUAACCUUUUAAUUAGUGCAUCUUUUCAAUUCCAUAUUUAUUUAACCAAUUUAAAACCAAAUAUUGUUCCAUUAUAUAUUGACCUUUCCUAUGUGUUUAUGUGCUACUAGCUAGGUGUUUAUUUUGCAGUUUUUUAAACAAAAAUGUUACGUCCUUUAGAAGUUGAAAUUCAAAGCACGAAAGUGGAACAAAUGACAAGUAACAUAAAUGAAUGGCACAUGCCCUUUCUACUGAAAAAUUAAUAGAAAGUAUAAUAAUAGAAUUAGGUGAAAUUUUUCUUCUUCAUAGAAGGAAUAAAAAAUGGUAUUCCAAAAAAUAAGUUAAACUAAGGCUUCUAAACAAGGUAAGCUGAUUGCAAUUUGCAGAAAAAAGAUAACUGAGUUGAAGUGAAUCCAAUUGAUGUUGUUAAUGAUAAGUAAAAGCCAUGUAUUAGAAGUGUCAAACCCUAUCUAUGUCGGCGUAAUAAAUAUCAACCUGACUGGGAUUCAAAUCUUGGUUCGCCACAUUGUGGUAGUCUAGCCCCUUAUAUGGUAGAGGAGUCCGACCAAACAAAAAUAAAAGACAAGCAAAUUAAGGCAACAAGUUCUUCGUUGCUAAUUACAUUCCACCAACUUCAGUGUAACAAGAUUAUAGACACUUAUGCUUAUUAUAAGAAGGUUUUAGACAUAACCAAAAACUCGUUAGAAGGAAUAGUCAGGUGAAGUAGAUUAUUCAAGCUACAUUAAUGGCCAUCCAGUUCAAGACGUCAUAAUAACGAUGAUAUUUCACACAACAAAAAUCAGAAUUGAACUCAAAAUAACCUAGUGGUCUUUGGCUAAUUUACUGAAACUGAUAAGAUUCUUAGUAAAAUAGCAGAUAUGAAGAAAAUUAAUUAAUUGAUUUGAACUAAGCCACCAAGCUUGAACAAGCCAAGUUUAUUAUUUAGGUUUGGGAUACAAAAGAAAAAAUAAAGCAUUAAACUAAACAUGGUUUCAUGAAUAUAGAAAGCAGAAAGCAUAGUUACUAAAGAUCAUUACUUUCAAUGAUAUGGAAAUCAAAAAGUUCGCAAAUAGAAAGAGACUAAACAUUCAAAAUAAAAACCCGAACAAAGAAAGAAAAAAAAUACUCCAACUGCCUCCACCUAACACAACCUCAGCAAACCAUGCUAGGCCGCAAGGAAGCCACACACAACAAGCCUGAACGCUGCACAGAAAAACGGUGGGAUCGACCCAGGAAACUUCCAGACCAGAAAAACAGGCAACAGCAGACCAGAAAACAGCACCAGAUGAGCCAAAACAGAACCACAGAAUCAUCAGCGACGAUACAAGGACAAUGGCCUGCUACCGAUUCAAGCGAUCUCUGGAAUUCAAAUUGACAAGACACUUUGUAUAUAAGGUAAUAUCCCAAUCACCACAAUCAUUUUACUCCUGGUAAAAAUAACUAAUUACUUAUUCCUCCAAUUGGAAGAAUGUUUCCUUGUACAUUACUAUCCGAUCAAUAGAAUUCACUUCUUUGUAAGCAAGCUCCACAAUCAUUU